This is a transfer RNA of Toxocara canis (dog roundworm), 71 nucleotides long. It matches the Rfam family "tRNA". Rfam says of the family: Transfer RNA (tRNA) molecules are approximately 80 nucleotides in length. NCBI's taxonomy places the organism in Eukaryota, Metazoa, Nematoda, Chromadorea, Rhabditida, Toxocaridae. The record is from Rfam.
GCGGCAGUAGCUCAGUGGUACAGCCCCGCUUCGCAUGCGGGGAGACCUGGGUUCGAUCCCCGGCUGCUUCC